GACGAACGCUGGCGGCGUGCUUAACACAUGCAAGUCGAACGGAAAGGCCCUGCUUUUGUGGGGUGCUCGAGUGGCGAACGGGUGAGUAACACGUGAGUAACCUGCCCUUGACUUUGGGAUAACUUCAGGAAACUGGGGCUAAUACCGGAUAGGAGCUCCUGCUGCAUGGUGGGGGUUGGAAAGUUUCGGCGGUUGGGGAUGGACUCGCGGCUUAUCAGCUUGUUGGUGGGGUAGUGGCUUACCAAGGCUUUGACGGGUAGCCGACAUGAGAGGGUGACCGGCCACAUAGGGACUGAGAUUCGGCCUAGAGUCCUACGUAAGACAGCAGUGGCGAAUAUUGCCCAAUGGGAGGAAGCCUGAUGCAUCAAGGCCGCGUGCGGUAUGACGGCCUUCGGGUUGUAUACCGCUUUCGCCUGUGACGAAGCGUGAGUGACGGUAAUGGGUAAAAAAGCACCGGCUAACUACGUG
This 468-nucleotide ribosomal RNA is filed under the name uncultured bacterium. Its description in RNAcentral is "partial 16S ribosomal RNA". It matches the Rfam family "Bacterial small subunit ribosomal RNA", at positions 28 to 507 of the family's 1533-position model. The record is from RNAcentral.